UACGUAGGGGGCGAGCGUUGUCCGGAAUCACUGGGCGUAAAGGGUGCGUAGGCGGCUUGGCAAGUCCUGUGUGAAAGGUCGCGGCUCAACCGCGGUGGGUCAUGGGAAACUGCCAAGCUCGAGUGCCGGAGAGGAUAGCGGAAUUCCCGGUGUAGCGGUGAAAUGCGUAGAGAUCGGGAGGAACACCAGUGGCGAAGGCGGCUAUCUGGAAGGUCACUGACGCUGAGGCACGACAGCUGGGGGAGCAAAC
Molecule: ribosomal RNA, 250 nt
Filed under: uncultured bacterium
Lineage: Bacteria
Description: partial 16S ribosomal RNA
Rfam family: Bacterial small subunit ribosomal RNA
Source: RNAcentral